UAUGGUGUCCACUCCACUAAUCACAGUCCAGAAAAUCAAUAAUGUCAUCAACAGCCGGUGCUGAAUGAAUCGGCUACAGCCCCGAAAGCUCAUUUCCUUGGGUGUCUCUGUAAUUGUUCCUAUCUCGACCCGACAACUGCUGAUCUGUUUCCCACCCCUUAGGAGGGGCUCCCUGAGGUUCUCGACCUGAGAAGAUUUCUUCCAGAAGAAAUACAAUUAUCUUACAGUCCGUCCUGGAAAUCUCAUUAAUACUGUAAACCGCAAAAAAAAAAAAAAAAAAAAAAAA
Heterocephalus glaber (naked mole-rat) is the source of this 286-nucleotide long non-coding RNA. RefSeq lists it as uncharacterized. NCBI's taxonomy places the organism in Eukaryota, Metazoa, Chordata, Mammalia, Rodentia, Bathyergidae. The record is from RefSeq and is a predicted model, not a curated record.